RNAcentral lists this ribosomal RNA (468 nucleotides) under uncultured bacterium. RNAcentral's name for it is "partial 16S ribosomal RNA". It matches the Rfam family "Bacterial small subunit ribosomal RNA", at positions 28 to 507 of the family's 1533-position model. The record is from RNAcentral.
GACGAACGCUGGCGGCGUGCUUAACACAUGCAAGUCGAACGGAAAGGCCCUGCUUUUGUGGGGUGCUCGAGUGGCGAACGGGUGAGUAACACGUGAGUAACCUGCCCUUGACUUUGGGAUAACUUCAGGAAACUGGGGCUAAUACCGGAUAGGAGCUCCUGCUGCAUGGUGGGGGUUGGAAAGUUUCGGCGGUUGGGGAUGGACUCGCGGCUUAUCAGCUUGUUGGUGGGGUAGUGGCUUACCAAGGCUUUGACGGGUAGCCGGCCUGAGAGGGUGACCGGCAACAUUGGGACUGAGAUACGGCCCAGACUCCUACGGGAGGAAGCAGUCGGGAAUAUUGCACAAUGGGCGGAAGCCUGAUGCAGAAACCCCGCGUGCGGGAUGUCGGCCUUCGGGUUGUACACCGCUUUCGCCUGUGACGAAGCGAGAGUGACGGUAAUGGGUAAAGAAGCACCGGCUAACUACGUG